ACAGAAUCUCUCUGUAAAAGAGUAAGCUGGGCAGAGAGCGUGGUAGCUUCUGUCUGCAGAGUCUGAACCUUGUGUUCCAAUUCUGAAAUAUAUCUCAUCUUCCUUUCUUUGGAACGAGCAGCCGAUUGACGAUUUGCCAAGAUCCUUUUUGCACGCUUUGGAUCAGUUAAUGCAAUCUCAGCAAGUUUAUCAUUUGCCAUAAUUUUCUUAAGCUCAGCGCCACUAAACUCGCCAUUUCCAAACUCCAAACUGAAGGCAUUCCCAUCCAAUGAAUUGCUAGGUGAUAGUUGUCCUGGGCGAGUUCCAGGUGAAGGUGGCAGCUUUGGAGACUCAUCACCAAAGUUCAACUUGCCCAUUAAGCUAUCCAUUGAAAAACUUCUGUAGUGUCUGGUGGUUGGAGCAAUAUCACCUCCUGCAGUCCUUUUGAUCCCCUCCCUCUUCUCAGUUGAAGAACUCAAUCCUGCCCCUGGCAAACUACUACCGCUUUCAUUCACACUGCUUUCUGCAUCAUUAUCACUGCUAUCACCUCCAUUAGUCUUUGUCCCACUAGCUCUACUAUCCAAAUCGUCAUGAUUCUCAUUACCAUUCUUAUCAUCAGUUCCAGAAGAGUUCAGCGCAUCAAUGUUAUCCAGAUUCAUAUAAGCUGAAAACAAAUCAUCCACAGUUUCACCUUCAGAUUUCCUCUCACCCAUCCCCUCAUCAUUGCUAAUGCUAUCACCACCUCUUUCCCAUUCUCUUUUCACCAGCUGAGCUGGCUUAGCCAACCCUGAAUUCUCUUUCCCAGACACUGAACGCUCCAACACACCUGAACCCCUAAACUGAACGAGAGGAGGCGAAGAUUGCAUCACAUUUGUAAACCCGAAUGGAAUAUCGCUAUUAGACCUCCGAUGUGUCUUGCGUGGAGGCAAGCUCUCACCAACUCUUGAAGUAUUACCCCUAUUAAUGGAUGAGGGUGGUAAUAGGGAAUGAGAAUUUGCAU
This 979-nucleotide unclassified non-coding RNA is filed under the name Hevea brasiliensis (rubber tree). Lineage: Eukaryota; Viridiplantae; Streptophyta; Magnoliopsida; Malpighiales; Euphorbiaceae. The record is from RNAcentral.